This 248-nucleotide unclassified non-coding RNA is filed under the name fungal sp. RNAcentral's name for it is "partial internal transcribed spacer region". The stretch from base 1 to 46 matches the Rfam family "Eukaryotic small subunit ribosomal RNA", at positions 1786 to 1831 of the family's 1831-position model. The record is from RNAcentral. Lineage: Eukaryota; Fungi.
AAGUCGUAACAAGGUCUCCGUUGGUGAACCAGCGGAGGGAUCAUUACAGAGUUGCAAGACUCCCAAAACCAUUGCGAACGCUACCCUUAUCGUUGCUUCGGCGGGCGCAUCCCCCAAGCCCCCCAGCGGGCGCGGGUGGGAGGCACCGCCGGCGGCACCCCCAAAACUCUGAUUUUUACCACUGGGCCUCUCUGAGUAAAGCUGUAUCAAAUCAGUCAAAACUUUCAACAACGGAUCUCUUGGUUCUG